AAAGUCCAUUCAUGAAUUCAACGGGCAGCGGUGCUUAUUAAACGUCUCUGCAUGCGCUGAGCACGAAACGAUGCGGACAAACACGCCGUUUCACUCGGACGAGGCGCGCCUGGCGAGACGGAGCGCGCCACGUCGUUCUCGUGGGUGUCCCCGCGAGAGCGUCGCGAACGCGUACGAGCGACACGCGUUAGGCUUAACGAGUUGACGGCGAGGCCACGUAGGCUUCCUCUGCGCGGACUAUAUCGCAGUACGACGAUGAAACGACGAUGAUGUUCAGUGGUGCUACGUGUCGAAGUUUCCCGAGUGCUUCUUUCUGCAAGUUGGCUACGCGCUCUUUGACGCAUUUGGUCACCCGACGACAAACCUGUGCGAGACGCUUCCGUCGCUAAGUUCCACGGACCUACUACUGCUCCUGACGUGUGUCGCAGAGUAAAAGCGAACGCUUCACGACAACGCGAGCGCAGAGGUCUACGCUUUUACGCCAAGCGGGAUGCCACACGAGUGAUUGUGCGUUGUUUUCUGUGGAUCUCCGUAUCAAUCCUGGAAUUCUUUCAGAAGUUGUCCAGACGUCCAAAAUGUCCAAACGCUUCGCUGCAGUGGAAUCAUCAACGAUGUGAGGAAAGUUCCAAGUGUACCUAUGCUGCCAGACGGGAAAUUAACGUUUGCCGUGUGACAGUUCACCAGCCUCAUUUAGACCACUGUGCUCCUCUAUUUUCAGGCUCCUGCGGCGCAUUACGAGUCCAAGGCGAGACACUAUAUAGUGACAAGCAACGCAUCCCUUUUUCCUUGUGCACCGCAAUGACUGGACAGAGUGAACGCUGUUCCCGAACUUGGAAUAUCUCCGGUAGCAUGCGAAUAGCAAUGGUGGCAAAGGAUUGCGCUGGUAUAAGUGAAUUCUGUGAUAACAGUGUUGGAAUGACCAUAAUGCUGUUGUCGCACUGCAUACUGAAACUUUUGGUUGGAUUAAGGAAAGAAGCUGUUUUUUGUGAUUUGGUCUGACCGCCGCCUUGGUCAGGAGUUCUGCAGCAGCUGGAGACUGAGGGUCAUGGGCCAAUUGCAGGAAUCAUGAGGGAGGUAGUGGCCGAAUACUGCACCAGGGAGGCCAAUUCCAGUUCUGGUCCGGCUGUGCCCAUGCUGUCGUCCUGUGUGUGCGAUCACGCCCAUUUCGUGGAAGCGAAGAAAAAGAAGAGAAAAAAAAAUGGGGGACCUCUGCGCAACUCUUGGAACCGAGCCACGGCCAAGCUGGCGUCGGAACUGGGCGACGUCGCCUUAUCUCUCGCAAACCGAGGCCCAGGCGCGCGACUUCUCUUCGCCGCCAUGCCUGCUGGCAAGCAUGACGACUCUCCGCUCGGCGAGCGGCCUGUGACGAUGGCUAGGCUGACGCCGGCGGCGGGAUAACGACACUACGCCGGCGCUGACGGUGACUACGCCGUCGACGACGACUGGGCCGCGGCGCGACAGAAACCACUCGCACCUCUCUAUUUGGUUCUUUCAACCUUUUUUUUUUUCGUUGGACGUAGCCUUUCCUUCUGAGAUGCUCGCUUCUUUUUGUUUUUCACACUCUUAGCCUCAGGAAUGCUUCCACUCUUUCUUUUUUUUUUCGUCUUCGUGGAUGUCUCAAGCGGCUCUCGUGCGCGCUGCCACCGUGCGCCAGGCUGCUUGUGACGACGCCUCGAAUGGUGGUGCCCUUGAGAAGCACCGGGUUCCGUACGUGCUCGCAACCACUUGCAACCCCCCCCCCCCUCCCCCAUUUUUUUUCCACCCCUAUGCCCUGCCUUCAUCCGCUGCUUGCAGAGGAUACCAAGGUCGGUCCAGAAGCCCGUAGCAGACACAGAUUAAUGGUGCUUGGCAGGCGGCCCACGGUUGCGUUCUUUUCUUUUUUUUUUUCUGCCCUAUGCCUCCUGCAAAGUGGUGUGCGUCCGCGUGCGCAUGAGUCGUCUCGAUGCACAGUCGCUCUCUCUUAGAGAGCACAAAAAAAAACUAACGAAAAGAAAAUUUGCAGGGUUUCCUCGCUCACGGACAUCGUCGCCGCUGCUCUGCCACUUUAUGGCUGUGUACCUGCGUGCUUCUACGAACGUGCUAGAUAUACUCGGACUUUCUGCUCUGGCCAGCCCCGACAGUGCUUCAGGGCGACACCACCUGACAGGCACCUCGACCGUAUACCCGGAGACGGUUUUAUGCGUUGUACGAAUGCAGGAAGCUCCUACAACCUCCAGCUUACGUACAUAAUUUAUAUAAAAGGCGCUGUACGCGUCACCAAGAAUCGCAACUACUCUGCACGGACGACUGUCAGGGAGCACGGCACAGAGGGUUCCAAGAGCACCCGUGGACUUGUGUUCUCCACCACGUGCCCGCCUGGAAACGCGACACGCUUCAGGCGCUAUUCGCUCGUUUCAUUUCGAAAAAGGACGUGGGCAUCUAAACGACCGACGAACGCCAAUGUAAUUGGCAGGGAGCAAGCGAUUUGGGCACUGAAUUUCGAUUGCCCACGUUAUGUGAGACCCGAGGAUUUGGGAAUGCGGCCGUUUACCAAGAUAGUGAGGGCGCCGCGCAGGCGCGGGCUCUGCCAAACACGGCAAUAUAUUCUGAACCAGAAAAAGCGACAAACUUAAAAGCAUGUUACGGUGGGCACCAAGGAUCGCGGCGAGAUGUAAUGCACGUCUAGUUAUAGCCAUCUGGAGUUGCAUUACUUGCCACUAGCUGUCGCUUUCUCCUUAAAACAAAACGGUCCUACUCGGGGUUCGGAGUAGCUGUUUUCGGAGCUUGUGGAACACGUAAAAAAAAGUUGUGCCUCUACACGUGUGCGGAAACACCGGCGGUGCAAUUUAUAAACAUUUUUUGUUAGCAUCCUGACGUUUGCCAAUAGCCGGCUGCCAUUGCUAAAUAUAUGUCCGCAAUAACGAUUGCCCAUGGCGUAUGCUCUUACGAGAAGGUUUAGCGUGAUAACUUUCUCAUGAAUAUGGGCAUUGGGUUAUUUCGAUCAUGGCGAGGGUGUUAUUGCAUUUCGAUUUGGAGACUGAUAGCAACGAAUCUGACCGAUUGCCGAGGAGUGUGGAUGGUAUCCUGCUUUAAGUCGUAGGCAGGUUUGAGCCGUCGAUUUCUCCAAUCCGUCUGCCUGAUCAUGGGCACGCUUGCGCUCGUCUUUUUGUUGGCAGUUUAUGAUCACGAUGUCGCCUAUUGCGUUCCUGCAGUCAUUGUUAGUAUACGUAAAUGACUACGCUGAAAUUGCAGGUCUUGUAUAGUUAACACCAGCUCGCAAUAACCAAAUUAAAUGUGUGCGAAUGUCUGGAGGGAAAAUUGCUUGUCUUGUGGAAUAACGUGCAUCACAACAGAAUUAUUCUCUGAAAAUAAAGAUAAGAAGAUGUUCGCUUCAU
Molecule: non-coding RNA, 3374 nt
Organism: Dermacentor albipictus
Lineage: Eukaryota; Metazoa; Arthropoda; Arachnida; Ixodida; Ixodidae
Source: RefSeq, a predicted model, not a curated record